ACAGCAGCCGCCGCGGGAAUACGAAGGGGGCUAGCGUUGCUCGGAAUGACUGGGCGUAAAGGGCGCGUAGGCGGAUUGUUUAGUUAGGCGUGAAAUUCCUGGGCUUAACCUGGGGACUGCGCUUAAUACAGGCAGUCUAGAGUGAGGAAGAGGGUUGUGGAAUUCCCAGUGUAGAGGUGAAAUUCGUAGAUAUUGGGAAGAACACCGGUGGCGAAGGCGGCAACCUGGUCCUUGACUGACGCUGAGGCGCGAAAGCGUGGGGAGCAAACAGAAUUAGAUACCCCUGUAGUCCCUGUCUCUUAUAC
Molecule: ribosomal RNA, 305 nt
Filed under: uncultured bacterium
Lineage: Bacteria
Description: partial 16S ribosomal RNA
Rfam family: Bacterial small subunit ribosomal RNA
Source: RNAcentral